AUCUGUGGCACAAAGGGCCAGUGUGUUUGGCUGUUAACCAGAAGGCUGGUGGUUUGAGCCCACUCAGGGAUG
This is a non-coding RNA of Podarcis lilfordi (Lilford's wall lizard), 72 nucleotides long. The record is from the annotation of a GenBank genome assembly. Lineage: Eukaryota; Metazoa; Chordata; Lepidosauria; Squamata; Lacertidae.